CAGUAGUCACGAGUUUGAUCCUGGCUCAGAACGAACGCUGGCGGCAUGCCUAACACAUGCAAGUCGAACGAGACCUUCGGGUCUAGUGGCGCACGGGUGCGUAACGCGUGGGAAUCUGCCCUUGGGUUCGGAAUAACUUCGGGAAACUGAAGCUAAUACCGGAUGAUGACGUAAGUCCAAAGAUUUAUCGCCCAAGGAUGAGCCCGCGUAGGAUUAGCUAGUUGGUGAGGUAAAGGCUCACCAAGGCGACGAUCCUUAGCUGGUCUGAGAGGAUGAUCAGCCACACUGGGACUGAGACACGGCCCAGACUCCUACGGGAGGCAGCAGUGGGAAUAUUGGACAAUGGGCGAAAGCCUGAUCCAGCAAUGCCGCGUGAGUGAUGAAGGCCUUAGGGUUGUAAAGCUCUUUUACCCGGGAUGAUAAUGACAGUACCGGGAGAAUAAGCUCCGGCUAACUCCGUG
Molecule: ribosomal RNA, 461 nt
Filed under: uncultured bacterium
Lineage: Bacteria
Description: bacterial SSU rRNA
Rfam family: Bacterial small subunit ribosomal RNA
Source: RNAcentral